CAAUUCAAAAAAGUGUUAUUGAUUCUCAAUAGUAAUUUGCAAAUAGCUAGCUUACAAAGUCGCUAGCUAUUGUGCAAAGUAUUUGAGAGAGUUAUUUUUAGAAGAUCGUGCUAGAUUAGCUAUUUAUGAGUCGCUAGCUAUUAGGAAGUCGCUAACUAUUAAGAAAUCGCUAGCUACUGUGGAGAGUAGUAUUUGAGAGAGUUAUUUCUAGAAGAUCGUGCUAGAUUAUCUAUUUAUGAGUCGUUAGCUACUUUUUUAGUAUUUUUAUACUUCAUCUCACUAGUUGUUUGUAAAGUGUUAUUGAGAGCCAAUAGAAUUCCUUCUAGAUAGCUAUUUAAUAACCAUUGCGGAUGGUCUUAUAUUAGAGUUAGAUAGAGAGAUGGUCUAGCAUUGGACACAUACAUCGAGUACUAAGACCAUCCUGAAUGGGGUUUCAUGACUCAGUUUAAUACAUACUCUCUCUCCUAGAAUCCGUGUCAGUCAAACUUUUUUAACUUUAAUCAACUUUAAAAAAAACUUAUUAAAAAAACUUGUCAAAAAAAAUUAUAAAAAAGAGCAUCAAUAUCUAUGACAUAAAAUUAGUAACUUAUGAAAAUAUAUUCUAUGAUAAAUUUAAUGGUAUUAAUUUGGUACUAUAAAUUUUACCGUCUUUUUUCUAUAAAUUUGGUCAAAAUUUUAAAAAAAAUGACUUUACACCUCUAGAAGUUGCAGGGGACCGAGGGAGUACAUAUUUUGGAAAUAGUCUACUCUCGUGAAAUUCUUAUCAUCUCUUUAUUCAUUAAUAUGGUGUCACAUCAGCAUAUUUAAUGUCCAUGAGACUCUAAUGGAACUCUAUUGAGACUGGUCUAAAUAUAGACUAUUAUGAAAUAAAAAACACAACUAGAAAAUAAUUUACGAGACAAAUCUUUUAAACCUGAUUAGUUCAUGCUUAGUAGAUAUUAAUUGCCAAAUAAAACAAAAAAGGUACCGUACAUGUUAAACUUUAACAAAGUAGACCAAAUUGUUUUUGACCCCAACUUCAUGUGAAAAAAAUAAAAUAAAAUUAAAUUAAAUUAAAAGAACAUGUGCAGCAUGGAUCAUUCAGCACAUAGUAGAUGCGGAUGCGGAGACAGCCUGCAUAUCCGCCCGUAGCGUCGUCGUCCGGCCGGCCC
This 1151-nucleotide long non-coding RNA is filed under the name Sorghum bicolor (sorghum). RNAcentral's name for it is "long non-coding RNA (SBIC_LNC009391)". The record is from RNAcentral. Lineage: Eukaryota; Viridiplantae; Streptophyta; Magnoliopsida; Poales; Poaceae.